UUCUGUAUUACCAAUUAGCUCAGGAGCUUCCUAUGAAUAGAAGUGUACUAAAAAGGCACUAGUGCAUAAAACCUCCUCUUGAAAUUUAAACCAAUCCCUAUAGAAGAAUGAAAUGGCAGGAAUUUGUGGUAUCAAAUCCAGAUAAGUACGGGUGUCAGUGUCCCUUAAACACAACAGAGAACUCUAAUCAAAGCCAGUUAGUUAAACAUUCCCUUGGACUCAACUUUGGAAAUAAUGGCCCAGAUCUAAAAACACUCAGGAGCUAAGGGCAGAAAAGUAACCCAGCCUUGAGCAACAUUUAUCUUCUGCCUUGGUAAGCUAAAUAA
This is a long non-coding RNA of Anguilla rostrata (American eel), 326 nucleotides long. RefSeq lists it as uncharacterized. NCBI's taxonomy places the organism in Eukaryota, Metazoa, Chordata, Actinopteri, Anguilliformes, Anguillidae. The transcript has 2 exons. The record is from RefSeq and is a predicted model, not a curated record.